CCGGACANAGGGAGGCGGACGCGCGAGCGCGAGCGGACCCCAAAAAACGGACCCCCCACGUUCGGACUGCAGCCUGCAACCCGGCUGCACGAAGCCGGAAUCGCUAGUAAUCGCGGAUCAGAACGCCGCGGUGAAUACGUUCCCGGGUCUUGUACACACCGCCCGUCACACCAUGGGAGCCUGGAAUGCCCGAAGCCGGUGGCCGAACCGAGAGGGCGGAGCCGCCUAAGGCAGGCCCGGUGACUGGGGUGAAGUCGUAACAAGGUAAC
This 269-nucleotide ribosomal RNA is filed under the name uncultured bacterium. RNAcentral describes it as "partial 16S ribosomal RNA". It matches the Rfam family "Bacterial small subunit ribosomal RNA", at positions 1235 to 1500 of the family's 1533-position model. The record is from RNAcentral.